UGGGGCGUGGCCAAGCGGUUAAGGCGCUGGUUUUUGGUAUCAGUACUCCCAGGUUCGAAUCCUGGCGCCCCAGCCA
RNAcentral lists this transfer RNA (76 nucleotides) under Magnetospira sp. QH-2. RNAcentral describes it as "tRNA-Gln (TTG) (tRNA-Gln-TTG-1-1)". It matches the Rfam family "tRNA". Rfam says of the family: Transfer RNA (tRNA) molecules are approximately 80 nucleotides in length. Their secondary structure includes four short double-helical elements and three loops (D, anti-codon, and T loops). Further hydrogen bonds mediate the characteristic L-shaped molecular structure. tRNAs have two regions of fundamental functional importance: the anti-codon, which is responsible for specific mRNA codon recognition, and the 3' end, to which the tRNAs corresponding amino acid is attached (by aminoacyl-tRNA synthetases). tRNAs cope with the degeneracy of the genetic code in two manners: having more than one tRNA (with a specific anti-codon) for a particular amino acid; and 'wobble' base-pairing, i.e. permitting non-standard base-pairing at the 3rd anti-codon position. The record is from RNAcentral. Lineage: Bacteria; Pseudomonadati; Pseudomonadota; Alphaproteobacteria; Rhodospirillales; Thalassospiraceae.